Molecule: ribosomal RNA, 301 nt
Filed under: uncultured soil bacterium
Lineage: Bacteria
Description: bacterial SSU rRNA
Rfam family: Bacterial small subunit ribosomal RNA
Source: RNAcentral
AGAAUCAACGCUGGCGGCGUGCCUAACACAUGCAAGUCGAGCGCGAAAGGGGAGCAAUCCCCGAGUAGAGCGGCGAACGGGUGAGUAACGCGUGGGUAAUCUACCUCCGAGUGGGGAAUAACAGCGGGAAACUGCUGCUAAUACCGCAUGACAUCGUCGAGCCUUCGGGCCUGACGAUCAAAGCCGGGGACCGCAAGGCCUGGCGCUUGGAGAGGAGCCCGCGUCCGAUUAGCUAGUUGGCGGGGUAAUGGCCCACCAAGGCUCCGAUCGGUAGCCGGCCUGAGAGGGCGGACGGCCACGA